ACACCGGCAGCUCAAGUGGUAGCCGCUUUUAUUGGGCCUAAAGCGUCCGUAGCCGGUCUGAUAAGUCUCUGGUGAAAUCCCACAGCUUAACUGUGGGAAUUGCUGGAGAUACUAUCAUGACUCGAGGUCGGGAGAGGCUGGAGGUACUCCCAGGGUAGGGGUGAAAUCCUGUAAUCCUGGGAGGACCACCUGUGGCGAAGGCGUCCAGCUGGAACGAACCUGACGGGGAGGGACGAAAGCCAGGGGCGCGAACCGGAUUAGAUACCCGGGUAGUCCUGGCCGUAAACGAUGUGGACUUGGUGUUGGGAUGGCUUCGAGCUGCCCCAGUGCCGAAGGGAAGCUGUUAAGUCCACCGCCUGGGAAGUACGGCCGCAAGGCUGAAACUUAAAGGAAUUGACGGGG
Molecule: ribosomal RNA, 402 nt
Filed under: uncultured bacterium
Lineage: Bacteria
Description: partial 16S ribosomal RNA
Rfam family: Archaeal small subunit ribosomal RNA
Source: RNAcentral